UUUUUUCUUUAUAACUAAAAUAUAAUUAUUUAAUAAAACUAUAUAUAUUUUUAAUAAUUAUAUUAUUAAAUGUUUUCACUACCAAAUUUUAUAUUUCUAUAAAAGCAUUCAUAACUUUUUAGCAACUAAACAAUUAUUGCUCGUUGGUUCUAAGUAACAAAAUUCUCUUCGCUAAUGAAUUGACCACUAUUUCUCCCACUUUAUGCUAAUUAGUCCAAUUUUUAUUUCUUUGGGGUCUAUGGAGACAUUUCUGGGGCACAUUUGGGGCAGUUUUGGGUCAGGGGAGGGAAUUCAGAGAGAACUUCAGGGUCUGGAGGACGCUUGGGGGAGCCGGGUGAGCACUGGGAGGGGCACUUAGGGAUUCUGUGGGACGAUUCGGGGUCCGGGACAGCACCUGGGGGUCCAGGGGGACACUUGGAGGUCAGGGAGGGGAAUCUGGGGGCGCUUCGGGGUCCGGGCGGGCACUUGGGGGGCCCUACCAGGGCUCUCUGGGCCGCGGGGGAUGAUGGGAGUUGUAGGCGCGGGUAUAAUACGGUGUAACGGCACCGCGGAGCAUCACGGGAGUUCCAGGCACAGCUCCAAUGGCUCUCGGUGGGGCGCGGGGCAUGACGGGAGAUGGAGUCACGGCUGGAAUGGCGCUCUAUGUGCGCCGCGGAGCAUGAUGGGAGCUGUAGUCCCAGGAGUGGCUCGGAAGGGGCCCAUGGGGGUCCGGGAAGGCCCUUGGGGGACACUUUUGUGUCCGAGCCGUGGCUGGAGGUCCUCGGGGGGAACGUGUACGGCUGGGGAGCACUUGGGGGGAGCCUGGGGAGCUCUAAGCGGGCUCUUUACGGCGCGGGGCACGGCAGAACCUCACUCGAUGUUUCCCACAGCCUUCAAUCAAUCCUUAACUCUGACUGCCCAACUCCCACAGAGAACUGGCUGCACUCAGGCAAACAGGGGUUUUCUCCUUUUCCUUUCCUUUGAAGCCAUGGAAAACUCCCAAGUUUUCCUGCUGAGAACAGAGAUACUCGUCAAGUGUGUGCCGAGCCCAAGGUGCCACCAAUGAGGUUCCCGUGCCCUAGGGCAGAACCCUGCAAGGAAUGUUCUAGACCUUUGCACUGCUUGGUUCCACGAGGCCUCGCUCUGUCACAAUGGACUUUUGGUUCCAUGAGGUUCCACAGUGUACAGUGCGUUAUAGAUACAUUUUAUAUUGUUGGCUUUUUGCAAAUAUUAAAAUGAAUGUUAUGUGUGUAAGAAUGAGAAAUUUUGUUGUAUUAAUAUAGUUUUCUUUAUUUCUGUUACUGAUGAAAUUUAGAAAUAGUGGCAUAAUACAUAUAUGUUAGGCUAUGGCAUAGUAUUAAAAUAAAAACUGCUUUUGUUUGUAUAACCCA
RNAcentral lists this long non-coding RNA (1370 nucleotides) under Cyanistes caeruleus (blue tit). Its description in RNAcentral is "lncRNA (ENSCCEG00000017993.1)". The record is from RNAcentral. Lineage: Eukaryota; Metazoa; Chordata; Aves; Passeriformes; Paridae.